Molecule: ribosomal RNA, 438 nt
Filed under: uncultured bacterium
Lineage: Bacteria
Description: bacterial SSU rRNA
Rfam family: Bacterial small subunit ribosomal RNA
Source: RNAcentral
CAGUCGAGAAUCAUUCGCAAUGGGCGAAAGCCUGACGAUGCGACGCCGCGUGUGUGAUGAAGGCCUUCGGGUCGUAAAGCACUUUCGCUUGGGAACAAGAGAGGUCGGCCAAUAACCGGCCAAUUUGAGGGUACCAGGUAAAGAAGCACCGGCUAACUCCGUGCCAGCAGCUGCGGUAAUACGGAGGGUGCAAGCGUUAAUCGGAUUUAUUGGGCGUAAAGGGCGCGUAGGCGGACGGAAAAGUCGGACGUGAAAUCCCAGGGCUUAACCCUGGAACAGCAUCCGAAACUUUUUGUCUAGAGGGUAGGCGGAGAAAACGGAAUUCCACAAGUAGCGGUGAAAUGCGUAGAUAUGUGGAAGAACACCGGUGGCGAAGGCGGUUUUCUAGCUUAUUCCUGACGCUAAAGCGCGAAAGCAAGGGGAUCAAACAGGAUUAGA